Molecule: ribosomal RNA, 496 nt
Filed under: uncultured bacterium
Lineage: Bacteria
Description: partial 16S ribosomal RNA
Rfam family: Bacterial small subunit ribosomal RNA
Source: RNAcentral
GAUGAACGCUGGCGGCGUGCCUAAUACAUGCAAGUAGAACGCUGAAGGAGGAGCUUGCUCUUUCCGGAUGAGUUGCGAACGGGUGAGUAACGCGUAGGUAACCUGCCUGGUAGCGGGGGAUAACUAUUGGAAACGAUAGCUAAUACCGCAUAACAGUAGAUAUUGCAUGAUAUUUGCUUGAAAGGGGCAAUUGCUCCACUACCAGAUGGACCUGCGUUGUAUUUGCUAGUUGGUGAGGUAACGGCUCACCAAGGCGACGAUACAUAGCCGACCUGAGAGGGUGGUCGGCCACACUGGGACUGAGACACGGCCCAGACUCCUACGGGAGGCAGCAGUAGGGAAUCUUCGGCAAUGGACGGAAGUCUGACCGAGCAACGCCGCGUGAGUGAAGAAGGUUUUCGGAUCGUAAAGCUCUGUUGUAAGAGAAGAACGAGUGUGAGAGUGGAAAGUUCACACUGUGACGGUAUCUUACCAGAAAGGGACGGCUAACUACGUG